UACGUAGGGUGCAAGCGUUGUCCGGAAUUAUUGGGCGUAAAGAGCUCGUAGGCGGUUUGUUGCGUCGGCUGUGAAAUCCCGAGGCUCAACCUCGGGUCUGCAGUCGAUACGAGCAAACUAGAGUGUUGCAGGGGAGACUGGAAUUCCUGGUGUAGCGGUGAAAUGCGCAGAUAUCAGGAGGAACACCCGUGGCGAAGGCGGCUCUCUGGGACGGUACUGACGCUGAGACGGCGAAAGCGUGGGGGAGUGAACAGG
This 255-nucleotide ribosomal RNA is filed under the name uncultured bacterium. Its description in RNAcentral is "partial 16S ribosomal RNA". It matches the Rfam family "Bacterial small subunit ribosomal RNA", at positions 524 to 776 of the family's 1533-position model. The record is from RNAcentral.